This 3698-nucleotide long non-coding RNA is filed under the name Marmota monax (woodchuck). Lineage: Eukaryota; Metazoa; Chordata; Mammalia; Rodentia; Sciuridae. The record is from RNAcentral.
UGCUAGAUAUGCUUAUUCCACAUUUAUCUCUCGGUCCCCACUGCGCGGGUGAAUAACGAGUUAGAACAACAAAAAACUAUCUUGUUAGGAACUUACAGCAAAAUGGGGGUGCACCGAAACCUAGAGGAAGGAUUUCCAGCACCGAGGUCCGGUAAUUGAGUCUCAUACACUAGCCAACUGUGCAACCGGAGAUCCGGGCUGACUGAUCCGCGCGGCACACCCCGCGGCUACAGACAGCGGGGAGCCGCAGAGAAGCGACCAGCAAGCAGGGAGAUUCCUGCAGAUUCUGUGGAAUCCUGACGCCUGAGCACUCACGGAGCCCCGGGCUGAGUUCGGGAUUUCAGACGGGGAAGGAAGCGGGACAGCUCUAUCCCCCACAACAGAAACUCCACCAAGGAAACCAGCGGCCACCAUCUUGGAGAGCUGAAGUAACCACUGCCACUCUCCCACAGAUUGCAACAAUAAAACAGGUGCGUGUUACUCAGCUCCUCUCCCAUACAGCGGGGAAUUGGCAAAAAAUCUCUCCUAGGCUCUCCAGGGGAGGGAUUAUCAGAGCAAGCCUGCAUAAAGACGCGGGGAGAACUAGAGACACCCGACCUUCAACUCCCCCUCCCAUCAGCAGGGAAAACGAAACCUGUAUUGCCAGCGCGGGGGGAGGGGCAAGCUGAAAAAAUCAAAACAAUAGAGUGCCGGGGGGUUUUCAAUAGCCACCCUCCACACCCAACAAACGGCAGGCCCAGAGUACAGUUUGAACUGCCGAGAGGCAUCACUCAGGGGAAAACUAGUCUAGCAGGAGAAACCAGGACUAGCAGGAGAAACCAGGGGAAUAGAGGCCAGGCCCUCGCGACUGGGCAGCUGGAUAAACUCCACCCGCUGCCCGCGAGACUGGGUGGCUGGAGUCCUCCCCCCCGCCUUUGACCCACUGCGCGUCUGGGCAGCUAGAGAUUGCCCGCCUACCAGCAACAGCCGGCCCAUUACCCCUGCGACUGGGUGGCUGGAGACCGCACGCCCGCCUGCGACAGCCAGCCCAUUGCCCCUGUGUCUGGGUGGCUAGAGAUCGCCCGCCCACCAGCGACAGCCAGCCCAUUGCCCCUGCGACUGAGCAGCUGGAAACCGCACGCCUGCUGAUGAAGUGUACCUAUACAAAUAGCAGACAGCAUGGUGAGACAUCUGAAUUUCCCGCUUUCUAUCAGGCACAAGAGAAGAAUACCAAAUAUGCAACAUAUUCAACAUGGGACUGGGUUGGGUCUUUCCAGAGUUGUAAUACAGAAAAAGAUAAUGUUCAAAAUAGCAGAAAUAGGUUGUCAGUAUUCAAAGAUGAUAUGAUGGCAUAUGCUGAAAAUCAAACAGGACCGAGAGAUAAAUGUGGAAUAAGCAUAUCUAGCAUGGUUGUCAGAAAGAAAAUCAACAUACGACCCUGACAUGCGUACACACCAGCAGUGGUACAUUCUGCUUUGAACUUAAAAUUUCAAAACUGAUACAGUUUUCAAUGGUAUCAAAUACCUAGGAAAAAGCCAAGGCAAGUGAGACCUCUUUAGAGAAAUUUGUAAUUUUAUUGGGAGAAUUGGAAGUCAAAUAUCCAAUACAACAACAGCCUGCAGUGUUUUCACUUUGUCUUCAUUUAUACCUCAGGUGGCCCUUCACCUGUAAUAUAAGCAUAACAGUUGGGGACAUUAUCAGCAGAACUCGAUUUAUGGGGUAUUAAAAACAUAUCAAUAACACCAGAAAUUUGGUUCUGUAACACAGACCAAAUCAAGAUCCGUGCGUGUCACUGUUUGGCUUACAUUCAGUUACACCUCUGUGGAGACCUUGAAGAGAGACUUAUAGUCUUGGAUGUUAUCACUAUUCUUAUAACACACCAUACUUUCUAAUGGUACAGAAAAUCAAGAGACUGACUUUUAAAAACAGUUAAUAAAACAUAAAUUCAUCUUCAAAAGCAAAGAUAAUUUUAAGUAGAGAGUAAAAAUCUGGAACAUUUUUACUAAAAAUCUAUGCAACACAAAAAAUAAAAUGAAUUAAGAAAAAAAGUAUAAUUAAAAUGUUUUAGAUAGAAAUAAUAAUUUGGAUAUACAGUUAAUAUCACAUUUGGAACUGGAUACAUGAUGUGAAAGGGAAUUUAAGUAUUUCAUUUGUCUGUGGAAAACUGUUGGUUUUGGCUAGAUUACCCCUGGAUGAUUUCUAAGAUGGUGACCAUGAUUCUUUAUUUUUCACCUAUACUACAUCCAUGAAUAUGAAUAGCACCUCUUUUUUUUUACAUUCAAAAGCACUCUACUUUGUAAAAAUAAAUUAUAUGGUCACAUUAGUUUUCAGCUCUGACCAUUAGUUUUAACAUUCAAAUGAGAAGAAGGUAUAUGCCAUGUCUCAUAGUAUGGCAAUCAAAAACUAAAUGAAAACAAAGGAAAACUGGAGAAAGAGAGGGAGAGGGAGAGUAAGAUAAAUUCAAAAGGAAACAUUUAUAUCUAAUAAUUGCUUUGGAAUGGCAACAGCUUUUCUAGAUAUUAGUGAUGUUUAGAUUCAUGUACUACUGGAGUGUCCUAAAUAAUGUGUGCUCUUGUGUCAUAGCAAUUUCAUUCAUAUAUUUAAAAUAUCAGAAUUUAAGAAUGUAUUCCCUUUAAAUUACGUGAUAUAUUUGCUAUCUGUUAGUAUCCUGCUCAUUUUCCUUGUUGGGAUUUUUCCACUGUCUUUUACAUUAUGAAAUCUGAAUUGUGACCUUGAUCACCAGCAAUCUUGUCAUUUAUUAGUUGGAUUACUGGCUCCUUUUAUCAUUCAUACAGGUCUUUCAUUAAGUACCCCUUUUCCUUUCCAUUAGGUUUAUCCUGUUGCUCUUACAUAUAUUUGUAUAUAGCAUGAUCACAUACUUUGACAUUUAUCUUAACAUCAUAUUCGUUUAAAGUAUGAUAUUCCUAAGACUGUGUUAUAAUCAUGUUCAUUAGGUUUCUGGAAGUGGUCAGAAAACAAUUUUCUACCAUAAAUAGUCAAAUAGGAAGGUUUAGCAUUGCAUAGGAAAAGCAUUUAGAAAACUAGUGUAAUUUCUUCCCUUGAUACAAAGUGCUUCAUUAAAUUCAGAAGCCCUCAUAACUUAUGGUCAUCCACUUGGAAAACACAUUUAUAAAUCAUACUUAAGUGGACUACAAAGAAAGCAAUACUCCAUGGUGUUUGAACUUCAACAUUUAUCCAGUAACAUCUCAAGGUAAAAACAUGUACUAUAUAAUAUAUGGUAUGGGUAGACAAGAUGGUAUAAUAUAAUGUCCAUUGUCACAGUAGAAAAAUUACAUUAUAUGCACAUUUGAAACUGCCAAAUCAUAACCCAUUAUUUUGUACAAGUCAUAGACACAGAUAAUUAUAAUUUUAAAAAGUCUGCAUUGUAGUGAAUCAAAGAGAGAUAAAAGGCCAGAAGUCUUCCAGUCAGAAAACCAAUUCUUCCUUUGAAGCUGGAAAUUAUUUUGCCUCCUUGUAGCUUCACCAGGGUCAUUCCUGUGGUGUUUUUCACUCUUUUUCCUGCCUGACCUUCCUUCCUAUACUUCAUGGCUCUUAAGUGCAGGAUUUAUGUCUGACUCACCUUCACUAUUCCUUGCAAGGAUUCGGGCUGCUCUGUGCAGUAGGUGCUAAUGAAUAUUUAUAUUUGUGAACUGAAUAAAUUUGUGAUCAGGGAAGGUGACACAUACACGUAUUUGCAGCUAUUUGGAGGCUGAGGUAGG